Phyllopteryx taeniolatus (common seadragon) is the source of this 1285-nucleotide long non-coding RNA. RefSeq lists it as uncharacterized. The record is from RefSeq and is a predicted model, not a curated record. NCBI's taxonomy places the organism in Eukaryota, Metazoa, Chordata, Actinopteri, Syngnathiformes, Syngnathidae. The transcript has 3 exons.
AACUGGGUCAAACAGAAAUAGGUGUCAGUGGGGACUUUUCUAGAUACUUGUACGAUAAAACCAAGGUGUUUUUAAAAAUGAAAUUGACACUUUUAUACUAGGUCCAUGUUAGAAUCACUCUAUGGAAGUCUAAAUAGCCAAAACACGGGACAUUUAAAGCCAAGGAUGCUAGUGAAUGGGGCAGUGCCAAUUGUCUAUAACUGCCAGAGCUUCCUCCUACCGUCCCGCUAUCGUCAGGUAUCGUGUUCCGCUGUGACAUUACGUCACCAACAAUGAGGGUGUUAACCACUUGGCCCCUGCAAAGAAGAUACCAACCCAUUAGAGUCCGGGCCGCAACGGCCCGCUGCUGCCUAGACUACUUGCUGCCAGCUGGACUGCACGGAGAGACUGUCAGAACACAAGCUUGCAAAUCGAAGUUCUGCAUGUGCAGCCAACUUGUAACUUGCCUUAAAAUCCCGAGAGAGACCGGGAGAAUCUACGUCCACGGGGAUGGACAGCUACCUCAGCAAUAAACAUGGCAGUGAAGGUCCCAUCGGGAGGUCUACUGGGAUGGUUCAGGCUAGAACAGCAGGGGACUGUGGUUUGAUAUAGCAAGUCCAGUCCUUUGCUAAAAAUGGGGAUUAGCAAGAGACUGAAUGUGUACGUAGUCACCUUUCCAAAAUUGUCUCACAGACUUUAAUAACUAAACGAAUAUGAUAUCAUUCAUGAAGAUACAGGCAGAAAACCCAUGUCACACAUUGUAACGUUGAACCACAUUAAACUGUUAAGAAAAUCGUUCUCUUCAUGCAACAUUGUAACACUAUCAUGCAAAAGUGAUAUUUACUGCAAGGUAGCCUAAUGUUACAGUAUAUGUUAUUAUGCUACUACAGUCAUAUGACACUAGUGUUCUUGUUUGAAUGAUCAUUUGGAAAAUGAUCAUUUGGGAAGACGGGGUGUCCACCGGGCCAUCAUGGCUGCUCACAGCGCACCGUUGACAGCUGUGAGGGUCAGAGGGCAGUGUGGCUGGAAGCGGAGAAGAACCAGGAAGACAGCAGCUCGUCGCGCUGGGCUGCCCGCUUCGGAGUGCUUCUCCUUUGUCGGCCAGAUGAUGGGGCUGAGUUACGUUCGCCUGUGGCUGCCUCAUUCAGAAUCCAUCGUGACCGUGCUAAAUGUUAUCGGUUUGAUGUUGAAUUUUUUGGAAUGUAAAAUCAAUUAAAACUAUAAGUGAGGUGAUCGACUUACCUGAUGACUCUGUGACAAUGGUGACGUGACGUUCUCGGUGCUUUUUCAAGAUUAGUCAUACAGC